GGACCCGUAGCCUAGUCUGGAUAGGGCGCUGGCCUUCUAAGCCAGAUACCGUGGGUUCGAAUCCCAUCGGGUUCA
Molecule: transfer RNA, 75 nt
Filed under: Candidatus Woesearchaeota archaeon
Lineage: Archaea; Nanobdellati; Candidatus Woesearchaeota
Description: tRNA-Arg
Rfam family: tRNA
About the family: Transfer RNA (tRNA) molecules are approximately 80 nucleotides in length. Their secondary structure includes four short double-helical elements and three loops (D, anti-codon, and T loops).
Source: RNAcentral